Molecule: ribosomal RNA, 143 nt
Filed under: Klebsiella pneumoniae
Lineage: Bacteria; Pseudomonadati; Pseudomonadota; Gammaproteobacteria; Enterobacterales; Enterobacteriaceae
Also listed under: 3 other names
Description: partial 23S ribosomal RNA
Rfam family: Bacterial large subunit ribosomal RNA
Source: RNAcentral
GGGUUGUGAGGUUAAGCGACUAAGCGUACACGGUGGAUGCCCUGGCAGUCAGAGGCGAUGAAGGACGUGCUAAUCUGCGAAAAGCGUCGGUAAGGUGAUAUGAACCGUUAUAGCCGGCGAUGUCCGAAUGGGGAAACCCAGUG